GCUCAUUUAACUCUUAACCUCUAUAGGCUACACGUUUUAACUACGUAGCCUAACACAAUAUGUUUCAAUUAAAAAAUUCAUUAUUAAUAUGGUGAAUAGUGAAAUUAAACAAGAAAAAUCAAAAUCACAACGAUAGGACAUGAUCAACCAACACAUUAGUAAUUCUUAUAUAGUUUUUCUACACCUGGAUGAAAUGUCCUAAAUCCAUCAACCACGUGUUUCAAAGAUAGUGAAAUUCAAGGUAGAUGCAUUCAUGGGUGCUACGUUCUUCGCUAAUAAUCAAUUAUUUACUUCGGCUAAAAUACGUGGUGUAAGAGCAGAUACGUAAGUACUAUUAAUUAGACUUUCUUGUAGUAACGUCAUUAUCACAUUUGUUUGCUUGUACCUUAUAUAAAUGUAGUCAUAAAGAUGACGAGGUGUUUCAAGUGUUUCCUUUCUUUCUGGCAAUCGAAUUUGAUUGGAACAGCAGUUUUUUUCAGGUUUUUUUGCAUUGUGUUAGUCUCAACAUCAUAUAAUUUUCCAAAGCUGUUUCAAGCUACAGUAAAAAAUAAUAUUUUUUAAAUACCAAUAGAUAAACCUUACAUUGGAAUGGUCUUCACAAACAUAUACUGGACUGCCAGGUUUGUCGCUCGCAUAAUCCCUUCUUAUAGCUUGAAAACAUUGUUUUCGUUGCUUUACUUCUCGAGGGAUUUGCACGAAAACUUUAUUUGGCGUUUUUAUACUAGUGUUUGUACAUUAUGGUAUAAUGUACCAACGAUACGUCAUCUUGUAUUCUACAAAAUUGAAUACUCACAGCAGUGCGAGUGUUUUUUUAGAAGAAUCCCAACAACUCUGUUUAAACUGUAUUUACUUCUAACCUCACUUCAGUCUGUUUACUUACUUUCUACGUCACACUAAGUCGUGUGUCAACAAAUGCGUUUUUGCGCGUCGUUUAGGUAUUUAAAUUCAUUUAUUUUCUUAUGUUUAUACAGUUUAAAAAAUUGAAAAAUAGUGUGCGAUCAAGAACGAUAUAAUUAACGUAGUUAAGGCAUAGAAAAAGUAUGCUAUUAAAGCUCUCCAUUUGUACUGAACGAUCGACGAACUAAAGUACCAACCCGAAAAAUAUUGAAGAGGUAAAUGUAAAAGCUAACUGCAAGGUUAGCGAUGACUUAAUGCCGAUUAAAAGUUAACUCGUAUUGAAAAAUAGGUAACGAAUGUUUGGAUAUCAACAAACGUAAUCCAAGUGAAUUUUAAAAAAAUUUGUAGCUUUCUGGAGCUAGUAGAGUUAAAAAGAGAAUUGAAACAAUAAGAGGUAUAGAUCUUUCGGAACAGUAAACUUUAUACUGAUGUAACCAUCAGAGAAAAAAGAAUAUAUGAAGGAUUAAAAAAAAAUUACGUUCUUGCCAAUUAUAUGUUUGUUAAAUAUUGUUUUCUCAAUAUUUCUGCUGGAAAAUGUAUACAUAUUAAUACCGAAUAAAAAAAAUAAUCUGCUACCGGAAUGCAUUAUGUUCAUAACUUCCCUAGCUGAAUAAAAAGUCAUUAUGAUCAUUCAUAUGCCUGUUCACGCUUUCGUCGUUCAGCACUUUUUCACCUGACCUAACAAAUAUGAUAAGAGGCUUGUCAUCAUCAGUAAUUGAUACCGUUAUAAUUCUGAAAAAUAUGGAUCGUUAGUAGUUUUUUUUAUAUAAUUUGUUGUAAAAGUUGAUCGAUUUUUCGUGAAGUUACAUAACGACUAUAAUAAUAUUUCAAAGUAUGCCGCACCAGAUGAGAUAUUAAAACUUCAGACCAUUAUUAACAUUUUACUUGUACGAUUUAUCAUUAUAGGAAUUUCAUCCGUUUUUAUUAUCUGAUUUUGAGGCUGAUAAUGAUAUAAUUAUUUUUACCGAGAAAAACUGUAAUUCUCUUGAGAAGAUAUUUGGAAAAUGUUUUCAUCUAAAUUAUGACCUUUUAGUGCAUAUAUGCAUCAAAGUUUUCGAUAAUUUUUGGACCAAAUGUGUUUUAUUACAUAAUUGUAGAAAUAUAACGAUUAGAAUUGACAUGUUGAAUAAAGUGAUUUUAUUAGAAUAUUUGCUGAAAUCAUUAAAAACUUAAUUCAAGUUAAUUAAAAAAUUUAAUAAAUAGAAAAAUGAUAGAAAAUUAAAAGAAUAAGAAUUAAAUGUACAAUUGAUGUUUUUAAGAAUAUUUGGCCUUGAGUUCGUGAACAUGAAGCUGCAUUUCAUGCGGUCAAGGACCACAAGCCUAUUGGAAAUGGAACUUUUUGGAGCUGGGUUAUUAUUAAUUUUUUUCGAUCAAAUUCGGCAUAAUUGCGGCAAUGCUUAUUAAGUCUGGCAACGCUGUCGAAUAAGAUUGAAAAGAAGCAAGUUCAUGCCUCAGACAGUUGUGUCUGUGUCAUGUUAACACGUGCUCGUCGAGUAGACACUUCAAGAAAAAGUUUUCCUUUGUUACGCCGUAUCUGCGUACGAACGUGGAUUACGGAACUAUGUUUACCAAAUUUCAACUACAAUUUCCAAAUUCGCCACUACGAAAUCGUUCAACAGUGUGGAAUACAUACCAGUAAUUCUGAAAAACGGGAUCAGCCGAAUCAAUCUGCAGUGCGGAAGAUCGGAAGAACAAAUAUUCCGCGUCCUCCAAGGAUGAUUUGGAUCGCAGAUUGAAAUUUAGCGAGAGGUAUAUCAGAUGCAGUCAGGUUCCAGCAUUCCGUUCUAUGGUCGGAUGAACCAACCUUCAAGCUAAAUGGAAAAUCAAUGUGGUUGAAAGAAGAGGGAAAUUGGGUACCUCGGAAAUAUCAUUGAGGAAUCUGCCAAUACCAAUAAUGAAAUUUUUCGUAAAAAAGUCAAGGUUUGAUACUUUUGCUUUGUUGCCAAAUCACUCAAAGCUGCGGAUAGAAUUUUAUACCAAACAUUUGAGCGACGCUAAAUUGAAGAUUCCUACUGUUUUAUAUCCUUAGGAUUUUAGCGAGGAAGUCCAUAGUUGAAGAUACAAUGCUCAAAUUGUUUAGUCGGUCAAUUUAUCACAGCAGGAUUGGUAUAUAAUAUGAUGCAGAUAAGAAUAGCCCGGAAUCAACGGUCUAGGCUAGAUUGAGUAAAUAGAGAACCUGCCAUUGCCAAUUGUCAUAAAAUACCACUGUCAGUUGUUUGUAUAUACUUUAUAAAAGUACAUCAAAUAAAAUUAAGUUAAAUUAU
RNA transcript from Diorhabda sublineata, 3161 nucleotides. RefSeq lists it as uncharacterized. The transcript has 3 exons. The record is from RefSeq and is a predicted model, not a curated record. NCBI's taxonomy places the organism in Eukaryota, Metazoa, Arthropoda, Insecta, Coleoptera, Chrysomelidae.